UACAGAGGGGGCGAGCGUUGUUCGGAAUUACUGGGCGUAAAGGGCGCGUAGGCGGCCAACUAAGUCAGACGUGAAAUCCCAUGGCUCAACCAUGGAACUGCGUCUGAUACUGGAUGGCUUGAAUCCGGGAGAGGGAUGUGGAAUUCCAGGUGUAGCGGUGAAAUGCGUAGAUAUCUGGAGGAACACCGGUGGCGAAGGCGGCAUCCUGGACCGGUAUUGACGCUGAGGCGCGAAAGCCAGGGGAGCAAACGGG
Molecule: ribosomal RNA, 253 nt
Filed under: uncultured bacterium
Lineage: Bacteria
Description: partial 16S ribosomal RNA
Rfam family: Bacterial small subunit ribosomal RNA
Source: RNAcentral